CUGAGUUUUACAACUCCCAACCCCUAUGUGAAUAUACCUAUCGUUGCUUCGGCGGGACCGCCCCGGCAUGCCCCGAAAGGGGCCGGCCCGGACCCGGCGCCCGCCGGAGGCCACCAAACCUUCUGUUUUGCAAACUGUAACGUCUGAGUGGUACCAUAAAUGAAUCA
Molecule: unclassified non-coding RNA, 167 nt
Filed under: uncultured Hypocreales
Lineage: Eukaryota; Fungi; Ascomycota; Sordariomycetes; Hypocreales
Description: sequence contains ITS1
Source: RNAcentral